Populus nigra (black poplar) is the source of this 1067-nucleotide long non-coding RNA. RefSeq lists it as uncharacterized. The record is from RefSeq and is a predicted model, not a curated record. The transcript has 2 exons. Lineage: Eukaryota; Viridiplantae; Streptophyta; Magnoliopsida; Malpighiales; Salicaceae.
AAACUAUUUUUUUCUCUAGUAAGUCUCUCUCAUCACCCAACACUCUCUCUUUCGCUUUCAAAACCCGAUUUCUUGAUUUCUUGUGUUAUUGUCUUGUGUUGAUUCCCCAUCACUUGUUUGUAACUCAGCUACACCGGUAACAGAUUUUUUUUUAAUAAAAAAUCCAAAUUUAAUUUCUAGAUCUGGAUGGGUUUUCUUCGUUUGUGUAAGGAAGUAAGUUUCUGCUAUCAUUUCUUCAUAGCUCUCGCAUGUUUAAACCUGCCACUUUAUCGUUUUUGCAGAUUAGCUUUCUAGAUCUUGAAAACUAUGAUGGAGACUUAGCUUGGCCCUUGAACCUAAACAGUUUCAGCAAUUUUUGGAGUUUUAAUACUAAGCUGUCAGACGCCUAUUGGAUUUUUCUUGCACAAUCACAGAUCAGUCUUCACUUCAGGCGAAAAUACUCACAAUUUCUUCACAAAUCACAACGCACAAAAUACUCUUUCCAACCGAACAAAUCCCUAAUCGGCAACCACAAAAGCGGCGACAAUGAUCUCCAUCCUCCACAAAAGCAGCCAGUGACAGUGCUCACGAUCCGGUGACUCCAGUCUUCACUCCUUCUCUUUCCUCAGUGCUCACGGUCGCGGCUUCCUCUUCUGUUUAUCGUGAUUUUAACUGCGAUGAGCCGACAACGAUCUCCUCAACAGCUCACGUCUUCGGGCUUCCUCUGCAGUCUUCAUUAACAGCGGCACGCCGACAACGAUCUCCUUUCUUUCCCAUCUUCAACAACAGCAGGCGACAUCGGGCCGUCGAGCCUCUUCACCAACAGCCGUUCAGCUCAUCAUCAACAGCAGCCAUUCAGCUCAUCAUCAUCAUCUUCAACAGCAGCAGGCGACACCGUAAGUUCAUUUUGCCUUCAUCAUCAUCACUGCAUUAGUUGAUUUUGCCCCUGUAAUAGAUUUGUAUUUUGCCAUUUUAAGUGUUAAUUGUUAGUUAGUCUGUUACCCUGUAAUUCAUUUUGCCCGGUCCUGUAAUUUGUAUAUGUAUAAUGUUAAAUUGAUUGGGUGAGAAAAUUGUUGAAUUGAAUGCCA